This 431-nucleotide ribosomal RNA is filed under the name uncultured bacterium. Its description in RNAcentral is "partial 16S ribosomal RNA". It matches the Rfam family "Bacterial small subunit ribosomal RNA", at positions 29 to 507 of the family's 1533-position model. The record is from RNAcentral.
AACGAACGCUGGCGGCAGGCUUAACACAUGCAAGUCGAACGGCCCGCAAGUGGAGUUGCAGACUGGUGAGUAACGCGUGGGAACAUACCCUUUCCUGCGGAAUAGCUCCGGGAAACUGGAAUUAAUACCGCAUACGCCCUACGACGGGAAGAUUUAUCGGGGAAGGAUUGGCCCGCGUUGGAUUAGCUAGUUGGUGGGGUAAAGGCCUACCAAGUCGACGAUCCAUAGCUGUUAUGAGAGGAUGAUCAGCCACAUUGGGACUGAGACACGGACCAAACUCCUACGGGAGGCAGCAGUGGGGUAUAUUGGACAAUGGGCGCAAGACUGAUCCAGCCAUGCCGCGUGAGUGAUGCAGGCCUUAGGGUUGCAAAGCUCUUUCACCGAUGAAGAUAAUGACGGUAGUCGGAGAAGAAGCCCCGGCUAACUUCGUG